CGCAACCCUCGACCUUAGUUGCCAGCAUUCAGUUGGGCACUCUAAGGUGACUGCCGGCUAAAAGUCGGAGGAAGGUGGGGGAGUGACGUCAAAUCAUCAUGCCCCUUAUGACCUGGGCUACACACGUGCUACAAUGGGCGGUACAAAGGGUCGCGAACCCGCGAGGGGGAGCCAAUCCCAAAAAAGCCGCUCUCAGUUCGGAUUGCAGGCUGCAACUCGCCUGCAUGAAGCCGGAAUCGCUAGUAAUCGCGGAUCAGCAUGCCGCGGUGAAUACGUUCCCGGGCCUU
Molecule: ribosomal RNA, 287 nt
Filed under: uncultured Paenibacillus sp.
Lineage: Bacteria; Bacillati; Bacillota; Bacilli; Caryophanales; Paenibacillaceae
Description: partial 16S ribosomal RNA
Rfam family: Bacterial small subunit ribosomal RNA
Source: RNAcentral